This 725-nucleotide ribosomal RNA is filed under the name uncultured bacterium. RNAcentral describes it as "bacterial SSU rRNA". It matches the Rfam family "Bacterial small subunit ribosomal RNA", at positions 771 to 1501 of the family's 1533-position model. The record is from RNAcentral.
AACAGGAUUAGAUACCCUGGUAGUCCACGCCCUAAACGAUGUCUACUAGUUGUCGGGUUUUAAUUAACUUGGUAACGCAGCUAACGCGUGAAGUAGACCGCCUGGGGAGUACGGUCGCAAGAUUAAAACUCAAAGGAAUUGACGGGGACCCGCACAAGCGGUGGAUGAUGUGGAUUAAUUCGAUGCAACGCGAAAAACCUUACCUACCCUUGACAUGGAAGGAAUCCCGGAGAGAUCUGGGAGUGCCCGAAAGGGAACCUUCACACAGGUGCUGCAUGGCUGUCGUCAGCUCGUGUCGUGAGAUGUUGGGUUAAGUCCCGCAACGAGCGCAACCCUUGUCAUUAGUUGCUACGCAAGAGCACUCUAAUGAGACUGCCGGUGACAAACCGGAGGAAGGUGGGGAUGACGUCAAGUCCUCAUGGCCCUUAUGGGUAGGGCUUCACACGUCAUACAAUGGUACAUACAGAGGGCCGCCAACCCGCGAGGGGGAGCUAAUCCCAGAAAGUGUAUCGUAGUCCGGAUUGUAGUCUGCAACUCGACUACAUGAAGUUGGAAUCGCUAGUAAUCGCGGAUCAGCAUGUCGCGGUGAAUACGUUCCCGGGUCUUGUACACACCGCCCGUCACACCAUGGGAGCGGGUUUUACCAGAAGUAGGUAGCUUAACCGCAAGGAGGGCGCUUACCACGGUAGGAUUCGUGACUGGGGUGAAGUCGUAACAAGGUAACC